GUCCACGCCCUAAACGGUGGGUACUAGGUGUAGGGCUCGUAAGGGUUCUGUGCCGAAGCGAAAGCAUUAAGUACCCCGCCUGGGUAGUACGGCCGCAAGGUUGAAACUCAAAGGAAUUGACGGGGGCCCGCACAAGCGGUGGAGCAUGUGGUUUAAUUCGACGCAACGCGAAGAACCUUACCUGGGUUUGACAUGUUAGUGGUAAGGACCCGAAAGGGCGAUGAUUCCCGCAAGGGAAAGCUAACACAGGUGCUGCAUGGCUGUCGU
This 267-nucleotide ribosomal RNA is filed under the name uncultured bacterium. RNAcentral's name for it is "partial 16S ribosomal RNA". It matches the Rfam family "Bacterial small subunit ribosomal RNA", at positions 793 to 1055 of the family's 1533-position model. The record is from RNAcentral.